GGGCAGGUCGAGAGAAGUGGGAGGAUGGGGAGCAAUGCGUUUAAGAAAUGGGAGGAUCAAGAGCAAAGUGCCAAAAUUGCUAUCUAGAGAGAUAUGGAGCGGCGACUUUAAUGCACAUAACAGUUUAAGGGGAAGCACACAUACAGAUGCUAAUGAUGGGCGGACCGGAAACCCAGUGACAACACUCGGGUCUGUAGCUGCCAUUCUCCAUUGGGAAAGGGAAAUGGCCCUGUAUUUAACAGAAAAGGUAGCUCAUCCACCAUGGCAGAUGAGGAAGAUCCAGACUGUUGAUUGGGAAACAAGAACAAACAAUGAGGCAUGAGAAUUGGCUGUUGAGGGACCACUUGUCACAUUGUCCAAGUCCAACAGAAGUGCACCCUUCAGACCAUCCGGUACGUUGACAUACUGUGCCAGUGUGAUCCGAGCACAAGCGUCCAGUUGUGGAGACUACAGCACAUCUAGCCUGUGGACGGACAGCGUGACAUGCGGAACAUCAGGCUCUCCCCACGAGAAGCAGUGCAUGAUCAACGCAACCCUCAGCAAGGAGAUCUGCUGGAAGUGAUGUACUCUCUCACGCUCUCGCUCUGGGGUAAGACAUAAUUUAAACAUCACAGAUAUACUGUAAAUUCCCACUGUGCCCAUGAUAAAAUGCUAUGUGAAUUGUGUUGUAGUACUGAAUGAAACUGAGGAGAUGCACUCAGACCAGCCUUUGUGAUUGAACUUACAGUGCCUUGCAA
This is a long non-coding RNA of Coregonus clupeaformis (lake whitefish), 737 nucleotides long. RefSeq lists it as uncharacterized. The transcript has 4 exons. The record is from RefSeq and is a predicted model, not a curated record. NCBI's taxonomy places the organism in Eukaryota, Metazoa, Chordata, Actinopteri, Salmoniformes, Salmonidae.